UUUGUUUUAUUUGAGCUCUUUAAAAUAUUAUUUCUUGUGGUUCAAGAGGAUUUCCAGAAUUUUAUGACACUGAUGAGUUCUUAUGUUUUUUUAAAAUAAGUAGGUGGACAGUGGACUCCGUUGUCUAAUCAGUGGCCUUCUGCUAUCCAAAAAACCAUACAAACUUUGGCUGGAAGAUUCUGUACUGCCAGAAGGAUUUUUGAAUUUGCGAACAUAAAUUUUCAGGCAUGGAAAAGGAGAGCUUCCAAGUCUGUAACAUGGUUUGUAAGACUUAGCCUGGGGUCCCACUUAGUCAAUUUUCAGGCAUGGAAUCACCAUGUUGGGUUUAGUAAAUAUGGUUUGAAAUGGUGCUGAAUCAAGGCAAUCAAGGAGAGAACACGAACAAGGUUCUCACGGAGCAAAAGGAAAGUAGAGAAGAAAGCCAGCAAAGAGAGCAUGGCGAGUUACUUGGAGAGUUAAGAAGUAACAAAACAAUUCGAGGGGAAUUAUCUUUUAUUUAGGACUCAUUGCGGCUUCCUGAAUCUGCAUGAUUUUCCUCUAUUCUUGCUCAUCCAAAAACCUUUGCAUAUUACAGCCUUCCACCUUCCAUAAAUGCCCAGGAAAUCAAAGAACGGACAUGGAAACUGGACCAGAUAUGGACAACUCUGCUACCUCAAAACUAAUAUGAUUUUCCCUUUCUAGCCCAUCCUGAGAAACUGCAUGCAUCUGUAACCUUUUCCCUAUACUUUAAUUCAACAUGACCGAAACUCAUGUUUGUUUGCAUGGCAGAUCAUUAAGAAAGCAAAAAUAUCUUACUCAUAGACAUUGACCAAUGUUAUCCUGUCAUUUGUGCAGAUGGGCACCCUGCAUAGGCGCACUCUGUGGAAGAACAAAGCAGCAAAAAUAGUUUAGGCAACAGUAAAUCUCCUUCCAUGAAGUAACUAAAACCAUAAUCCAUUUGAUGCUCUCUGUAUUUAUAUAAAGGUGUUAUUCUCCAAUAGAACCUUGUCUGUGCAUGUUGAUUUCUAGGAGAUGUACAGAGUUCAGUUCAAAAUUGGAUGAUUCCCCUCUUACCCUCAGCUCCUCUUGAGAUCAACAACAAUGACACUGAUGUUAUCAGCGCUUCUCCGUCCUAAGGCAAGGCGAGUAAGAAGUGCAGCAGCCAACAUGCUUCGAGAUGGGUACAAUGCUCCAGCACCUUCUUCUUCAAUCUGAGGCCCGGCCUUGGCAGGAGGAUUUUUUUCUCGGAGGCAUUCGCGAGCUACCUGACAAGCCAAGUCACUUGACAAGACAUCCCAUAAGCCAUCACUAGCAAGAAUUAAGCACUCAUCUUCUGAUUCUCUUUUUGUAAAAGUAAUCUCAGGCUCUGCUAUUACAACUGGCUUUAAAUAUUUGUCCCCUGCUCAAAAAAACAUAACAGAAUAAAAGGAAUUGAGCAAGCAUUUUAAGAA
Molecule: long non-coding RNA, 1430 nt
Organism: Populus nigra (black poplar)
Lineage: Eukaryota; Viridiplantae; Streptophyta; Magnoliopsida; Malpighiales; Salicaceae
Exons: 2
Source: RefSeq, a predicted model, not a curated record